GCCUACGGGGGGCAGCAGUGAGGAAUAUUGGUCAAUGGCCGGAAGGCUGAACCAGCCAAGCCGCGUGAAGGACGAAGGUGCCAAGCAUUGUAAACUUCUUUUGUCAAGGGACAAAAUCAGGCUCGAGAGCCUGACCGAGGGUACUUGAAGAAAAAGCAUCGGCUAACUCCGUGCCAGCAGCCGCGGUAAUACGGAGGAUGCGAGCGUUAUCCGGAUUUAUUGGGUUUAAAGGGUGCGUAGGCGGACUGUUAAGUCAGCGGUAAAAGCCCGGGGCUCAACCCCGGCAAGCCGUUGAAACUGGCUGU
This 305-nucleotide ribosomal RNA is filed under the name uncultured bacterium. Its description in RNAcentral is "bacterial SSU rRNA". It matches the Rfam family "Bacterial small subunit ribosomal RNA", at positions 337 to 640 of the family's 1533-position model. The record is from RNAcentral.